RNAcentral lists this ribosomal RNA (238 nucleotides) under uncultured bacterium. RNAcentral describes it as "partial 16S ribosomal RNA". It matches the Rfam family "Bacterial small subunit ribosomal RNA", at positions 118 to 351 of the family's 1533-position model. The record is from RNAcentral.
UGAGGAACAUGACCUUCGGCGGGGGAUAGCCGGCCCAACGGCCGGGUAAUACCGCGUACGACCUCUCGGGGACAUCCCCGGUUGGUGAAAGCAGCAAUGCGCCGAUAGAGUGCCUCGCGGCCUAUCAGUUAGUUGGUGGGGUAACGGCUCACCAAGGCAACGACGGGUAGCUGGUCUGAGAGGAUGGCCAGCCACAUUGGGACUGAGACACGGCCCAGACCUCCGUACGGGGAGGCAG